Cicer arietinum (chickpea) is the source of this 1099-nucleotide non-coding RNA. The record is from RefSeq and is a predicted model, not a curated record. Lineage: Eukaryota; Viridiplantae; Streptophyta; Magnoliopsida; Fabales; Fabaceae.
AAAUUACCCCCUUUGGUUUUGUACCAUGAAAAUGCAACUAAUCCUCGCCUUCCACAAACAGUGAUAAAGUUUUUUUUUUCCUUUGUAUUUCUCAAACAUUUUUCUCUCUACUAUCUUCUACCAACCUUAAUAUCCUAAAACCCUAAAUUUAUAUUCGAAAAACCCUAAAAUCAUCUCUCGUUUCACUUCGCGAUUUGCAGCAGCAAGAAGAAUGAGGCCUACAGCCUUGCUUGGUGUUCUGAACAAGCAGUUUCUUGGAAUCGCCAGUGACGCUGCGAAUGCUGUUGCUAAGAAGCUGACACCGUCUGCUUCUGUCAUGUCACGAAAACCGGCAUUUAUAGACGCAUUCCUGUACAAGAUGAAAAAGAACCCUGAACUUUUGAAGAACAAGACCAUUUGGUCACGGAGAUCCACCAUCUUGCCAGAAUUUGUUGAUUCCCAGGUCAAGAUUUACAAUGGGAAAACCACUAUUCGUUGUAAGAUCACCGAGGGAAAAGUGGGUCAUAAGUUUGGAGAGUUUGCACUCACUAGGAAACGCAAAAGUAGAGACCAACCUAAUGCCAAAGUUAAACAACUCAAGAAAAAGAAGUGAUUUUUUUAUAUGGUUUAUAUUAUGCAGUUAUUUACAACAAUGUGGAUAAAGAAUUUCAAGAUGGCGAUAUAGACUAUAGAGUGCUGUUGCUAUACAAGGAACUUUUCGGGUGUAUUCUAUACAAGGGAUUUGCGUGUGUUUGCACCGUUUUAAAUCAUAAUGGGUGGCAGGACAGCUAGAUGCUAUCAUGUGUAAUUAAUUGUUGGGUUCCUUUGAUACAAUGCCUUACUUGUGUAUGCAUGUAUGUUGUGCAUUGCUAAAUGAAACUCAUAAUGUCAAUGUCAUCACUAGAUUUAAACAACAUUGCAAUCAACAAUGAAAAUAGUUUGUAUGAAUUAUGAUGAAUUUAAAAGUGAUGACAUCUUUCUUUGUAAAAAGCUGAAGCAUACAAGAGCAAUCACUUGUGGCCGGUGUCUUUAGCGGGUGAAUGAGUCUAUCAUUCAUGUAACUCAAGUGUAGAACUCAAGUUUGUAGGGUGAAUUAUAAUCUUAUAGUCUUGUUUGAACA